AGAGUUUGAUCCUGGCUCAGAUUGAACGCUGGCGGCAGGCUUAACACAUGCAAGUCGAGCGGGGAAAGGUAGCUUGCUACAUUUCCUAGCGGCGGACGGGUGAGUAAUGCUUAGGAAUCUGCCUAUUAGUGGGGAACAACAUUCCGAAAGGAAUGCUAAUACCGCAUACGCCCUACGGGGGAAAGCAGGGGAUCUUCGGACCUUGCGCUAAUAGAUGAGCCUAAGUCAGAUUAGCUAGUUGGUGGGGUAAAGGCCUACCAAGGCGACGAUCUGUAGCGGGUCUGAGAGGAUGAUCCGCCACACUGGGACUGAGACACGGCCCAGACUCCUACGGGAGGCAGCAGUGGGGAAUAUUGGACAAUGGGCGAAAGCCUGAUCCAGCCAUGCCGCGUGUGUGAAGAAGGCCUUUUGGUUGUAAAGCACUUUAAGCGAGGAGGAGGCUACUUAGAUUAAUACUCUAGGAUAGUGGACGUUACUCGCAGAAUAAGCACCGGCUAACUCUGUGCCAGCAGCCGCGGUAAUACAGAGGGUGCGAGCGUUAAUCGGAUUUACUGGGCGUAAAGCGUGCGUAGGCGGCUUCUUAAGUCGGAUGUGAAAUCCCUGAGCUUAACUUAGGAAUUGCAUUCGAUACUGGGAAGCUAGAGUAUGGGAGAGGAUGGUAGAAUUCCAGGUGUAGCGGUGAAAUGCGUAGA
This 692-nucleotide ribosomal RNA is filed under the name uncultured bacterium. RNAcentral describes it as "bacterial SSU rRNA". It matches the Rfam family "Bacterial small subunit ribosomal RNA", at positions 8 to 694 of the family's 1533-position model. The record is from RNAcentral.